RNAcentral lists this ribosomal RNA (458 nucleotides) under uncultured bacterium. RNAcentral's name for it is "bacterial SSU rRNA". It matches the Rfam family "Bacterial small subunit ribosomal RNA", at positions 29 to 506 of the family's 1533-position model. The record is from RNAcentral.
AUGAACGUUGGCGGCGUGGAUUAGGCAUGCAAGUCGAAUGCGAAUGGGGGUAACUCCUAGUAGCAUGGCGAAUGGGGUAGUAAUGCGUGGGGAACCUGCCCUCAGGUCUGGGAUAUACGGUGGAAACGCCGGGCAAUACUGGACGUCAUCGGAAGUCGGCAUCGAUUUCCGAUGAAAGGUUUACCGCCUGGGGAGGGCCUCAUGUCCUAUCAGCUUGUUGGUGAGGUGACGGCUCACCAAGGCGACGACGGGUAGGGGGUGUGAGAGCACGACCCCCACCACUGGCACUGAGACACUGGCCAGACUCCUACGGGAGGCUGCAGUCGAGAAUCUUCGGCAAUGGGCGAAAGCCUGACCGAGCGACGCCGCGUGGAGGAAGAAGGCCCUCGGGUUGUAAACUCCUGUUGGGGGGGAACAAAUCAUGAGUGAACCCCUGAGGAAGCACGGGCUAAGUUCGU